UCUAAAACCACGACAAUAAUUGCUCUCUCUCUCUCUAUUCUCGUUCUCUCUUCUCCAGCAAAACCUUUUGUUCCCGAAGAGUAUUGCUGGUAGAAGACGUUGAGGCCAACACAAUCCAAUCAAGAGUGCUAUUGAUAGAAGAGUUGAGGCAAACCCAAAGGAAUUGAUGCAAGGAUUUGGCUGAAUUGACCUGAUCCUAUAUCAAAUUCUACACCGAUUUUUCAUUCUUUUCCUUGCCGUUUCAAGUUUUGAGUGUUGAACUUCGAGACCAUGGGUCGACAUGGCCGAAUUCGCAGAAGGAAGACUUAAACCUUCAUCUCCAACAAACGCAAGCAUAAGGUUUUUGGAUGGAAGACUGGACUUUUAUCAAAAAGAUGAAGUAUUGGUGUGAAUGCGAUAUGAAUAUGAAGAUAGAACUAUGUUAUUGAAUUUUGAUAAUGAGCAUCAAAGUAGGCUCGAAAUCAGUUAUCUUCUUUUUUUAUCUCUCGCGGCAUAUAAGAGUUUUGUAUAUGACAUAUAAUUAUGUAAAGGUACAUUAAUGCUAUAUGUCUUCUAUCUUGUUCUUUGGUGUGAAA
Rosa rugosa (rugosa rose) is the source of this 575-nucleotide long non-coding RNA. RefSeq lists it as uncharacterized. The record is from RefSeq and is a predicted model, not a curated record. NCBI's taxonomy places the organism in Eukaryota, Viridiplantae, Streptophyta, Magnoliopsida, Rosales, Rosaceae. The transcript is spliced from 2 exons.